This 46-nucleotide non-coding RNA is filed under the name Lentisphaera araneosa HTCC2155. RNAcentral's name for it is "Acido-Lenti-1 RNA". It matches the Rfam family "Acido-Lenti-1 RNA". Lineage: Bacteria; Pseudomonadati; Lentisphaerota; Lentisphaeria; Lentisphaerales; Lentisphaeraceae. The record is from Rfam by way of RNAcentral.
CCUAGCACUUGCGUGCUAGGCUGAGUUAUGUCGUCCCCUUGGGACU